This is a non-coding RNA of Vicia faba (fava bean), 372 nucleotides long. NCBI's taxonomy places the organism in Eukaryota, Viridiplantae, Streptophyta, Magnoliopsida, Fabales, Fabaceae. The record is from the annotation of a GenBank genome assembly.
AUGCAACAAAAAUCUGGGAAAAAGUUAACAACAACAAAUUGUAAACCAAACAGAAAAAGGAAGGAGAAUCGAACAGACGCGUCAAACGAUGUUCCCGACAACCACGAACUAGAGCAGCCACCGCGAGAUGUGGUCACUCCACCAUCCACAUUUCUGGCCAGAAUCCGCGCACCACUUCCAACUCGCAAGCCUCCAUACGCGAUGCACCUCACUCCGCCAAAGAACGCCGCCCAUCAGCUCGACGUCAGCUCCUCACCACCGCCGCGAAUUCGCCUGCAAAGUCGACGACGCUUCAUCUAUCUCGCAUGCGGUCGUACCUCGCCAGCAAUCUCUCCGCUCAACAACAACGCAUGCUCAACUCUUACGCCGUGA